UAAGGGGCCACACCGAGUGUGCAGCAACGUCCCAGGUCUUCGCGGUUGCUCCCUGCUCACUCACUGACUCACCCGGAGCAACUUCCAGUACUACAAGCUCCAUUUACGAUGUCAAGGCUUGGAUUCUGAACUUCCACGUAAACAGUUGUGAGCCACAAUUGAUGAGGCUGAUCUUCAAAAAGCCCAACUUUAGCCCUGGCUGGGUAACUCAGCUGGUUAGAACAUCAUCCUGAUACACCAAGGUUGCAGGUUUGAUCCCCAGUCACGGCACAUACAAGAAUUCGACCAAUGAAUGGAUAAAGGCUGCUUGUUUUGCAUACCUUAUAAGCUGCACUCAGUAUCUGCUGGCCAUGCAUGAGACAAGUCCAGGACCCCAAACUGCCCACAGAGGGAGCUGCUGACAACAUCAU
Long non-coding RNA from Artibeus jamaicensis (Jamaican fruit-eating bat), 410 nucleotides. RefSeq lists it as uncharacterized. The record is from RefSeq and is a predicted model, not a curated record. NCBI's taxonomy places the organism in Eukaryota, Metazoa, Chordata, Mammalia, Chiroptera, Phyllostomidae. The transcript is spliced from 4 exons.